Molecule: ribosomal RNA, 497 nt
Filed under: uncultured bacterium
Lineage: Bacteria
Description: partial 16S ribosomal RNA
Rfam family: Bacterial small subunit ribosomal RNA
Source: RNAcentral
GACGAACGCUGGCGGCGUGCCUAAUACAUGCAAGUUGAGCACUGAAGGUUGGUACUUGUACCAACUGGGUGAGCAGCGAACGGGUGAGUAACGCGUGGGGAAUCUGCCUUUGAGCGGGGGACAACAUUUGGAAACGAAUGCUAAUACCGCAUAAAAACUUUAAACACAAGUUUUAAGUUUGAAAGAUGCAAUUGCAUCACUCAAAGAUGAUCCCGCGUUGUAUUAGCUAGUUGGUGAGGUAAAGGCUCACCAAGGCGAUGAUACAUAGCCGACCUGAGAGGGUGGUCGGCCACAAUGGGACUGAGACACGGCCCAAACUCCUACGGGAGGCAGCAGUAGGGGAACUUCGGCAAUGGACGAAAGUCUGACCGAGCAACGCCGCGUGGGUGAAGAAGGGUUUCGGAUCGUAAAACUCUGUUGGUAGAGAAGAAAGUUGGUGAGAGUGGAAAGCUCAUCAAGUGACGGUAACUACCCAGAAAGGGACGGCUAACUACGUG